GACGAAGGUGGCGAGCGUUGUUCGGUGUCACUGGGCUUAAAGCGUAUGUAGGCGGAAAGGUAAGCGUCAUGUGAAAUCCCUCGGCUUAACCGAGGAAUUGCUUGGCGAACUACUUUUCUUGAGGUAGGUAGGGGUACAUGGAACUCUUGGUGGAGCGGUGGAAUGCGUAGAUAUCAAGAGGAACGCCGAUGGAGAAAUCAGUGUACUGGGCCUAUUCUGACGCUGAGAUACGAAAGCGUGGGGAGCGAACGGGAUUAGAUACCCGGGUA
Molecule: ribosomal RNA, 269 nt
Filed under: uncultured prokaryote
Description: partial 16S ribosomal RNA
Rfam family: Bacterial small subunit ribosomal RNA
Source: RNAcentral